This 492-nucleotide ribosomal RNA is filed under the name uncultured bacterium. Its description in RNAcentral is "partial 16S ribosomal RNA". It matches the Rfam family "Bacterial small subunit ribosomal RNA", at positions 29 to 507 of the family's 1533-position model. The record is from RNAcentral.
AGUGAACGCUGGCGGUAGGCCUAACACAUGCAAGUCGAACGGCAGCACAGUAAGAGCUUGCUCUUACGGGUGGCGAGUGGCGGACGGGUGAGGAAUACAUCGGAAUCUACUUUUUCGUGGGGGAUAACGUAGGGAAACUUACGCUAAUACCGCAUACGACCUACGGGUGAAAGCAGGGGAUCUUCGGACCUUGCGCGAUUGAAUGAGCCGAUGUCGGAUUAGCUAGUUGGCGGGGUAAAGGCCCACCAAGGCGACGAUCCGUAGCUGGUCUGAGAGGAUGAUCAGCCACACUGGAACUGAGACACGGUCCAGAUUCCUACGGGAGGCAGCAGUGGGGAAUAUUGGACAAUGGGCGCAAGCCUGAUCCGGCCAUACCGCGUGGGUGAAGAAGGCCUUCGGGUUGUAAAGCCCUUUUGUUGGGAAAGAAAAGCAGCAGGUUAAUACCCCGCUGUUCUGACGGUACCCAAAGAAUAAGCACCGGCUAACUUCGUG